GCUUGUCUCAAAGAUUAAGCCAUGCAUGUCUUAGUGUAAAUAACUCUUAUGAAACUGCGAAUGGCUCAUUAAAUCAGUUAUCAAAUACGUGAUGGUCGCCUACUACAUGGAUAACCGUAGUAAUUCUAGAGCUAAUACAUGCACAAAAUCCCGACUUACGAAGGGAUGUAUUUAUUAGAUACAAACCAACAUCGUGGUGAUUCAUAAUAACUUUGCGAAUCGUAUGCCUCACGGCGACGAUGAAUCAUUCAAAUUUCUGCCCUAUCAGCUUUCGACGGUACUGUAGUGGACUACCGUGGCAUUAACGGGUGACGGAGAAUUAGGGUUCGAUUCCGGAGAGGGAGCCUGAGAAAUGGCUACCACAUCCAAGGAAGGCAGCAGG
Molecule: ribosomal RNA, 382 nt
Filed under: uncultured Katablepharidophyta
Lineage: Eukaryota; Cryptophyceae; Kathablepharidacea
Description: partial small subunit ribosomal RNA
Rfam family: Eukaryotic small subunit ribosomal RNA
Source: RNAcentral